Molecule: long non-coding RNA, 752 nt
Organism: Hyla sarda
Lineage: Eukaryota; Metazoa; Chordata; Amphibia; Anura; Hylidae
Exons: 4
Source: RefSeq, a predicted model, not a curated record
CUCCCCCGGCUGCUCACUGCAGAGCAGAAGAAAGACGGCAGAGAGAGACACUACCUCACAGCUGUACAGCCUCUGCGGUCUGUAUAGGAGCUCAGUCCAGUCUGACAGUCUCCGACCUGUAGAGGCGGCCAUCAGUGCGAAAAAGAAGGUCAGAAGGAUUUAGUGGACAUUUAGUGGACAAUUUUGUGGAUACAACAAGGACGUAAAUUUAUGUGGUAAAGGAGUUCAGCAAAUCAGUGGCAGGAUUUGGCACCAUUUUGUAUGAGGCUACAAUAUACAAGUCAACAUGAAACUUUGGUAAUAGAAUACAGAGGUAAUACAAUAAACCUGAACAUUGCCAACAUUUCUAACAUAACAAAACUGUCAACCAGCCUAAAAAUAUUGCCAUCAGGAGGUCCACCCUUAGCUGUGCUGUGGCCUGAAGGUGCUGGCCAACAUCACUUGGAAGUCGUCAGCCUGCCGACGGUGAAGUCGGUGCAUGGUCCUAUUCAAGCGUUGCAUCUCCCAUGCAAGGUGCCUCGUCUCCCUGGACAACCUGUCCCUUUCUUGGAGUACCCUAAGAUCUCUCUGCCUCGGAUGUCUGAGCCUCUGGCAGGAGGUGCUUCUUCAAUUCCAGCUCCCAGUUCUUGAAGUUGAAGUUUUUUGACUACUGAUGCCCUGCAGUCAUAGUACCUGAUUGUGUUUUACAUAAAAUAGUUUAUUCAAGUUUAUCAUACCAUUUCCGUUUUAUGACAAUAAACUGUUUUGUUGAG